This 451-nucleotide ribosomal RNA is filed under the name uncultured bacterium. RNAcentral's name for it is "bacterial SSU rRNA". It matches the Rfam family "Bacterial small subunit ribosomal RNA", at positions 350 to 793 of the family's 1533-position model. The record is from RNAcentral.
AGCAGUGGGGAAUAUUGCACAAUGGGCGCAAGCCUGAUGCAGCCAUGCCGCGUGUAUGAAGAAGGCCUUCGGGUUGUAAAGUACUUUCAGCAGUGAGGAAGGUGGGUAUGUUAAUAGCAUACUCAUUUGACGUUAGCUGCAGAAGAAGCACCGGCUAACUCCGUGCCAGCAGCCGCGGUAAUACGGAGGGUGCGAGCGUUAAUCGGAAUUACUGGGCGUAAAGCGCAUGCAGGUGGUUUGUUAAGUCAGAUGUGAAAGCCCGGGGCUCAACCUCGGAAUUGCAUUUGAAAACUGGCAAACUAGAGUACUGUAGAGGGGGUAGAAUUUCAGGUGUAGCGGUGAAAUGCGUAGAGAUCUGAAGGAAUACCGGUGGCGAAGGCGGCCCCCUGGACAGAUACUGACACUCAGAUGCGAAAGCGUGGGGAGCAAACAGGAUUAGAUACCCUGGUAG